GGCCAGACUCCUACGGGAGGCAGCAGUGGGGAAUAUUGCACAAUGGGGGAAACCCUGAUGCAGCAACGCCGCGUGAGUGAAGAAGUAUUUCGGUAUGUAAAGCCCUAUCGGCAGGGAAGAGACAGACGGUACCUGACUAAGAAGCCCCGGCUAACUACGGGCCAGCAGCCGCGGUAAUACGUAGGGGGCAAGCGUUAUCCGGAUUCACUGGGUGUAAAGGGAGCGUAGACGGCGACGCAAGUCUGGAGUGAAAGCCCGGGGCCCAACCCCGGGACUGCUCUGGAAACUGCGGCGCUGGAGUACGGGAGGGGCAGGCGGAAUUCCUGGUGUAGCGGUGAAAUGCGUAGAUAUCAGGAGGAACACCGGCGGCGAAGGCGGCCUGCUGGACUGCGACUGACGUUGAGGCCCGAAAGCGUGGGGAGCAAACAGGAUUAGAUACCCGCGUAGG
RNAcentral lists this ribosomal RNA (448 nucleotides) under uncultured bacterium. RNAcentral describes it as "partial 16S ribosomal RNA". It matches the Rfam family "Bacterial small subunit ribosomal RNA", at positions 329 to 794 of the family's 1533-position model. The record is from RNAcentral.